UUUCGAAUCUUUCACAAUGGGCGAAAGCCUGAUGGAGCAACGCCGCGUGGGGGAUGACGGUCUUCGGAUUGUAAACCCCUGUCACCAAGGACUAACCGUCCCGCACUAACACUGCGGGGCCUGAAUUAACUUGGAGAGGAAGGAGUGGCUAACUCUGUGCCAGCAGCCGCGGUAAUACAGAGACUCCAAACGUUAUUCGGAUUCACUGGGCGUAAAGGGUGCGCAGGCGGCUAGGUGUGUCAGAGGUGAAAGCCCGCAGCUUAACUGUGGAACUGCCUUUGAAACUAUCUGGCUAGAGUAUCGGAGAGGAUAGCGGAAUUCCAGGUGUAGCAGUGAAAUGCGUAGAUAUCUGGAGGAACACCAAUGGCGAAGGCAGCUAUCUGGACGAUUACUGACGCUCAGGCACGAAAGCAUGGGGAGCGAAAGGGAUUAGAUACCCCCGUAGUCC
RNAcentral lists this ribosomal RNA (448 nucleotides) under uncultured prokaryote. Its description in RNAcentral is "bacterial SSU rRNA". It matches the Rfam family "Bacterial small subunit ribosomal RNA", at positions 355 to 796 of the family's 1533-position model. The record is from RNAcentral.